This 717-nucleotide non-coding RNA is filed under the name Triticum aestivum (bread wheat). RNAcentral's name for it is "Eukaryotic small subunit ribosomal RNA". The stretch from base 454 to 712 matches the Rfam family "Bacterial small subunit ribosomal RNA", at positions 567 to 869 of the family's 1533-position model. The record is from Rfam by way of RNAcentral. Lineage: Eukaryota; Viridiplantae; Streptophyta; Magnoliopsida; Poales; Poaceae.
UAAUAUGCAUUUAUAUGCUAUUUUAUAUUAUUUUUGGGACUAACUAUUAACCGAGGGCCCAGUGCCAGUUUCUAUUUUUUGCCUGUUUUAGUGUUUCAUAGAAAAGAAAUACCAAACGGAGUCCAAACGGAAUGAAACUUUCGCAAUGAUCUUUCUUGGACCAGAAGCAAACUAGGAGACUUGGAGAUGAAGUUGGAGACUCAACGAGGCGGCCACAAGGGUGGAGGGCGCGCCCCUACCUCGUGGGCCCCUCGGAGCUCUCUUGACCUAGUUCCUUCGCCUAUAUAUACUCUUAUACCCCAAAAACAUCAGGGGGAGCCACGAAAACACUUUUCCACCGCCGCAACCUUCUGUACCCGUGAGAUCCCAUCUAGGGGCCUUUUCCGGCAUCCUGUCGGAGGGGGAUUUGAUCAUGGAGGGCUUCUACAUCAACACCAUUACCCUUCCGAUGAAGCAUGAGUUGUUUACCUUAGAACUACGGGUCCACUUGAGUGAGACCGAGGAGAGUGGAAUUUCGUGUGUAGGGGUGAAAUCCGUAGAUCUACGAAGGAAUGCCAAAAGCGAAGGCAGCUCUCUAGGUACCUACUGAUGCUGGGGUGCAAAAGCAUGGGGAGCGAACAGGAUUAGAUACCCUGGUAGUACAUGCCAUAAACGAUGAGUGUUCUCCCUUGGUCUGCGCGGAUCAGGGGCCCAGCUAACACGUGAAACACUCCGCCU